Molecule: non-coding RNA, 923 nt
Organism: Arachis ipaensis
Lineage: Eukaryota; Viridiplantae; Streptophyta; Magnoliopsida; Fabales; Fabaceae
Source: RefSeq, a predicted model, not a curated record
GGAUCGAAGAUAUUAUCUGUUGCGUGAAUUUGCUAUUACGGCUAGUAAUUUCUCAGCUCAUGAUGGUUGUUGAAAUUGUUGCCUUUUUUUUCUUUGUGCGGGGGAAAUUAGAUUUUAAAGUUGCCGGGGAAUCAUGCUCGGUAUCAUAAGGCGGAGGGUUUCUUCUAGUAGCCCAUAUCCCUUGCUUUUAAGCCAGUCAGCGCGAAAAUUCUGCUCUGGCCCCUCAGCUCCUACCAGAGUUUCCUCCAUUGUUGAAAAGGAGGCAUUCAAGAUAAUUGUGACUGAUCCAUGUAAAUAAAACUAUAGAAGUACCUGCCAUGUAAAUCACACUGGUAAAUAUCUGAAGCUUUAAUUUUUUCCAUCAAAAAUCCCAUUCAAGUAUUUAUUUUCAUGCUACCACAUGCUCUUCUAAAACCUACACACAUCAAACUUUCAUUUUUAAGUAAAUCCAUGCUUUCUAUUGUCACUCUUCAUUAAUAUCUUUUUAGUGUGUAUUUGGUUCUGAUUUUGUAAAAUCUUUGUUUUGUAGUUUCUCUACAGAGAGAAAUUCGGUAAGUCCAUAUUUCCAUAAGAAAUUAGCUGUGGCUGCCACAUCCUAAUCAUACCUGUUGGUAUAUAUAUACAAGUUUGAAACAUAAUAGGAUGCAUAAAAUUAGUGAUAGAAUAGGAAACUAAGAAGCUUAUUGGUGUUCAGUACGUAGGUUCCUGUGGCUUGGUAGUUCAUUAGAUCACAUAAUGAAAGAACCAUUUGACUAGUUAGUUAGAGUAGUUGUAGUGUGGUAUACUAUUUCAUAGUUUGUGAUUAUAGAGAAUGUUACCAUUAAAUCUAACUUUAUUUUUGUGUCUAACAGCAACUUGAAGAAAUUUAGCCUAUAUUAUAAGAAGAUAAAAUAACCAGCAUUCAUUACAAGUUAUUAGUAGAA